Long non-coding RNA from Magnolia sinica, 370 nucleotides. RefSeq lists it as uncharacterized. The transcript is spliced from 2 exons. The record is from RefSeq and is a predicted model, not a curated record. Lineage: Eukaryota; Viridiplantae; Streptophyta; Magnoliopsida; Magnoliales; Magnoliaceae.
UCAUCUCUUCUCAAAUCUCGCAGUUAGGAUUUUGUUUCAAAGGGCCUGAUUUUUAUGCACUGGUUGCAUGCAGGGCAGUGCCAUCUUGAUGGGUGGUUAGAUCCCAUACACGGCCACGCCCAAGUAAGAUUUUGUUACAAUACCUAAGCAGUCUGGUGGUGAAAUGAGAAAUUGAAUAAAAAUACAAUCCUAUAUUGGUUCUGUCAACGAGGAAGAUGACUAAAUGGCAGCAAAUUCAGCCUCGUUGCUACUACCCCUCUUAAAUGUCUAGACAUGAAUGAAAGAAUCACAAUCCCACAUAUCUCAAACUCAAAAGCUCUCUCUCUCUCUCUCUCUCUCUCUCUCUCUCUCUCUCUCUCUCUCUCUCUCU